RNAcentral lists this long non-coding RNA (280 nucleotides) under Arachis ipaensis. RNAcentral describes it as "long non-coding RNA (AIPA_LNC001294)". The record is from RNAcentral. Lineage: Eukaryota; Viridiplantae; Streptophyta; Magnoliopsida; Fabales; Fabaceae.
AACGAUACAGCUACAACCAUGAUAGAAAUAUCAAAAGUUCAUUUAUUAUCCUACAAUGGGCAAAGAUAAAAUACAGCGGCGGUAAGCAAUAAUUGUUUAGACAGCUACAUAAGCCCAUGUAUCACUCAUAGUCUCAUACAAAAUAGAGUCCUCAAAAUUCUUGAUAACUAAAGGGUUGCUACUUUCAGAGUCAACAUCAGCAAAUCCGUCAUCAUGCAGGGCUGCCAGAAGAGUGUCACGGAACUCCAAUACCCUCAAGAAUCCAUGGAGACUCACCUAC